CCUACCCACAGAAGCCCUGCAGGUGUGGCUGCUGUGUCACAUGUGAGUGCGUAGGUAGCUGAAAGGAGAGAGGCAGAAAGUGGAAGGUCACGAGAGCUUGCCCUGCCCCUCACC
Molecule: small nucleolar RNA, 114 nt
Filed under: Meriones unguiculatus (Mongolian gerbil)
Lineage: Eukaryota; Metazoa; Chordata; Mammalia; Rodentia; Muridae
Description: Small nucleolar RNA SNORA17 (ENSMUGG00000019802.1)
Rfam family: Small nucleolar RNA SNORA17
About the family: snoRNA ACA 17 belongs to the H/ACA family of snoRNAs and is predicted to guide pseudouridylation of the 28S rRNA at positions U4659 and U4598.
Source: RNAcentral